Long non-coding RNA from Cydia fagiglandana, 1141 nucleotides. RefSeq lists it as uncharacterized. The record is from RefSeq and is a predicted model, not a curated record. Lineage: Eukaryota; Metazoa; Arthropoda; Insecta; Lepidoptera; Tortricidae. The transcript is spliced from 3 exons.
CUAUUAUAUAGAACAUUUCGUUAUUAUCAAUUGUGUACUUGAAUCAUGUCCAUACCUUAUCCACAAGCUGAGAAUAAAAAUAAAAUCCAACAUCAUCUCAACCCACCUAAAAACGUCCGAAACUUUGCCGAACUCACCUUAGGUAUACUAUUAUUAUUUAUUUUGCUCUGUGUUGAAGUCAAAUCACAAGGUUAAGAUAUCAGUUACCAACCACGACAAUAGUAGGUGUCUUAUACGAAGUACGAAGGUGAGUUAUGAUAAUAAUUAACACAUUAUAGGAGUUAUCAAUAAUUUAUUUAUAAACUUAAUUAUUUUUUAAAGUGGUUUAUUAUUAUGAUUUCUUUAAAUAAUGAGAUUUAAUCAAAUGAAUGAAGAAUGAAUGUUCUAAUUCGUAGAUGUUUAAUAAAAUGUGCGUAAAUAAGGCAUCAAAUAUGGCUAGAAGACACACUUCUUUCCUUACUUAGAAUACAAGCCUUUAAUAAAAUCAAGUCAUAAAACGAAGCAUGUUCUAACGAUAGUUAGAUUAAGAGCGAUGACAGUCUUGAGGGGAAUGAAAGUGAUCCUUUGAACGCCACAACUCCUUAAAAAGGAUUAAAUACCUACCUUAAUAUCACAAAGAAAUUACAUGCCAUUUGAAUCAACGAAGACAGAGAAUCAAGUACCUAAUUGAAUUUAAAAUGUUGUACUACUAACAUUAUAUAUUAAAUAUGUGAGUGAAAUUGCAAUCGUAAGAUAAAAGAAAUUAGAAUAAGGGGCCAUGAAAUGGAAUAUUUACUUAUGGUGUAAAAAAACACCUUUCUAAAAUAUGCUGCCGAAUAUAACGUAGUAAUCUAAAUUGAAAAAUACAGACGUGGCAAUUCAAAAACCGUCAUAACGUCAAAGGUCAGUCUAUCUGCUGCCUUGUUUUUCACUGUUGGCAGCUUUGGGCGUCUGGUUAGGUUGGUUGGUGUCGGCGGCGAGAGUGGCGUCGGCGGCGGCGGGCGCGGUGUCAUUGCUGGGGGCGAUAGUGGUUGUGGGGUCGGCGGGCGUGGUCGCGUCGUCGCCGGCGGCGGCCAGGGCCGCUAACAUCAGCACGGAGAAGAGGAUCUAGAGGAGAAGAGAUACUCGUAAAAUCGAAUCAAUCAAUAUUCUAUUACUAAUC